ACUUAAGCAUAUCAAUAAGCGGGAGGGAAAAAGAAACCAACAGGGAUUGCCCUAGUAACGGCGAGUGAAGCGGCAACAGCUCAAAUUUGAAAUCUGGCCCCUUUGGGGUCCGAGUUGUAAUUUGCAGAGGGUGCUUUGGCGUUGGCGGCGGUCUAAGUUCCUUGGAACAGGACAUCGCAGAGGGUGAGAAUCCCGUAUGUGGUCGCAUGCCUUCGCCGUGUAAAGCCCCUUCGACGAGUCGAGUUGUUUGGGAAUGCAGCUCUAAAUGGGAGGUAAAUUUCUUCUAAAGCUAAAUACCGGCCAGAGACCGAUAGCGCACAAGUAGAGUGAUCGAAAGAUGAAAAGCACUUUGGAAAGAGAGUCAAACAGCACGUGAAAUUGUUGAAAGGGAAGCGCUUGCAGCCAGACUUGCCUGUAGUUGCUCACCCGGGCUCCUGCCCGGGGCACUCUUCUGCAGGCAGGCCAGCAUCAGUUUGGGCGGUCGGAUAAAGGGCUCUGACACGUACUUCCCCUCGGGGUUGACAUACAGGGGAGCCGCAAUGCGACCAGCCCGGACUGAGGUCCGCGCAUCUGCUAGGAUGCUGGCGUAAUGGCUGUAAGCGGCCCGUCUUGAAACACGGACCAAGGAGUCUAACAUCUAUGCGAGUGUUUGGGUGUCAAGCCCGAGCGCGCAAUGAAAGUGAACGGAGGUGGGAGCCCCUCGGGGUGCACCAUCGACCGAUCCUGAUGUCUUCGGAUGGAUUUGAGUAAGAGCAUAGCUGUUGGGACCCGAAAGAUGGUGAACUAUGCUUGAAUAGGGUGAAGCCAGAGGAAACUCUGGUGGAGGCUCGCAGCGGUUCUGACGUGCAAAUCGAUCGUCAAAUUUGGGCAUAGGGGCGAAAGACNUAAUCGAACUAUCUAGUAGCUGGUUCCUGCCGAAGUUCCCCCC
Molecule: ribosomal RNA, 928 nt
Filed under: Periconia macrospinosa
Lineage: Eukaryota; Fungi; Ascomycota; Dothideomycetes; Pleosporales; Periconiaceae
Description: partial large subunit ribosomal RNA
Rfam family: Eukaryotic large subunit ribosomal RNA
Source: RNAcentral